Molecule: long non-coding RNA, 4011 nt
Organism: Gasterosteus aculeatus (three-spined stickleback)
Lineage: Eukaryota; Metazoa; Chordata; Actinopteri; Perciformes; Gasterosteidae
Source: Ensembl
AACAUCAGCAGAAAAUCAAGCAACACAUAUAACCUCUAAAUGAAAUGGCACAUUAGGUUUCUUGUAAACCUAAAUAAAGACCCCAUUUGCAACAACCAAUAACUUUUGUGGUAACUAAAAUCAUUUAAAAAAAAGGUGCUGAACAUGGUUCGUACUGAGUACAAAUGAACAAUGUGACGACACUCAGCAAUUUCGAAUGUGCCCAAGAAACCUGAACGGUACUUUUGGUGACAGGGAAACAGCUGAUGGUCGCCUUUGAAUAAGGUGCAUCACCCGGUAACGUUCAGCGGAGGGACGCCGGUCCCUCCCUCCAUCAGGCUGUGAGCAUCACUGUCAGCGCCAACCGCUUAAAGGACAAACAAAGCGGUCCGUAGCGCACAAAUAUUACUCUCCCCUAUGUAAUUCAACAACAACAUCAUCGAUCCAAACAUUUGCGAGCGCGGCGCCGUGGAGACCGGACGUCACGCACGACCAAACCCAGUCUGGCGCAUUCCAACCAAUCGAUACCGGGGUCACCUGGGGGGGGGGGGUCGAUAAUGGAUGGAAGCACCACAACUGUUUGCGUUUUAAAACGAAUCAAUCUUGUCGGGUUUCCGUUUUUUUAUACAUGCGUUGGAUUAAAAGAUAAGUAUUGCUUUUUCAUUCGGCGUUUAGGAGGAUGGAGCGUCAAAGUAACGAGACAUCGAGCAUGCAGCACAUGCCAGGUAGCGUUGUCGGAAGGAGAGGAGCCAAGACAGAACAUGACAGUCUCACCACCUUUCGCCCGUCGGUUUCGGAUGUCAGCGAGGGAUGCAGACAGCUUUUUACAAACGGGAGAGUACAACUGGAGCACCUGUGCAGGUCAGAAGAGGCGGCAUGCAGUCGCUGGUGUUAUACGCCCGCAGGCAAGAGGCCAUUAGAGGAGGAAAUGACUACUGGAGUGUUUUAAUAAGGGCUCCUUUUGAGCACUGGUGGGAUGGAUCAACCCAUCUGGAGGAGCGAUUCCCUCCCCUGGAGAAGGUGAGAUGAAGCUCACAAAAGCACCCUCGAACACUGCAGCACCUUCAGUGAUUAGCUGUACCAAAAGAAAGAUGCCGCUAUUUGGUUUUACAGCUGCUAUCUGCAUGUGCUUCCAACUUUUGUGGUUUUAUGCAGCGAGUACUGAAUAAAUUAAGAUGAUUGUUGGAUAAUUGUUGGGUGUCAUUUGAAAGACUCAAGUAUAAGGCACUUAUACAGCCUGCAUCUCUGUUCAGGGUUUCAAUAGACAAAACAAUGGCUACAGCAUGCAGCCAUAUAUAAAUAUAUAAAACAGACAGAGAGCUUUUUACAUUCUUCACUGACAGAAAACAAACAUACAGAUUUACUGCAAAAUCAUGAUCGUAACUCUUAAAUCGUCUGCACCCUAAAAUGCAAUGAUGCACAUUAUUGCUGCACAUGCAUAUUAUUCCUCCACAAUAAAGGCAACGUGUGAAACGGAUUCAAAGUCGUAUUAUUAGAAACAUGCUCAUACACACAAAAUGGGAUCCAAUUUGUGAACUCAUUACUUUUUGUCCUCUUCUGGUUUCAAUGGAACGAAGGCAGCUGUCUAAUCACAAUGGAAGACAAACAAUUAGCCAAAACAACAACAAAAACGAGGAUUUGGGGCAUUCUUCUUGUGCAGAAGUGAAAGAUUCGACGACUCAAUGAUGGAGAAACCCCGCUGGCUUCGGGGAGAAGUGGACCUUCACCCGGACCCCGAUGUGUCUGAUGCCGUGCGACGGGAAGCCACCAGAGUGACGUAAAGACAGUUCACAGAAUGGAGAGCCUGACAUGACGUAUCCCACCUGCCUGGGACCGCUGUGUGAAAUCAUGUUUACAUUUUAACACGGCCCUAUUUCGGCUGCCCCAGGCAUCCCGUACCUUUACCGCUGUGACAAAUACGUCUUCUACUUAAUAACCGUUAUGUGAAAUGAUUUUGGUGAGGAUGUCGUGUUCGGAUUUUAGCCCCGACGAUGGUUGUGCAGCACUAAAUGUAAAAUAAAGAGCGUUGGCUGCACAAAUCCCCAUGGUAUGAAUUAUGCUGGCGUAGAAAAGAAAACCCCACUGGGGGCGUUUGAUCAAGUAUAAGUGCCUUCUAUGUUGUACAGUAUAGUUUAAAGCAAAUAGAAAACCGUGGGAAGGAAUGCUAAAGUGUAAAAGUGUCGACAAAUACCAAACGCGUGCAUGUGCCGCACAGCAGGAAUUAAACACACAAAAAGCUUCGGCUAACUAUCCCGAGGUAUAUUUGUGCUGCCAAGUAAUUGUUUCACCGCGGCGCAUCAUACGCAAACGCAUCCGCUUUUAUUCAUUAGCAUUUGUCAGACCUUGGGGGCUUCAUUUCUGAGCGAGCACUUUGUUCGGUAUACCACGUAAAUACUGUAUUCCCCUUCAGGUACCGGAGCGACUAACAAACAAACCAUUAGCCACCUUCGGCCGGGAGAAAGACAAACUCGGCGAGUGCGAGGAAAAAUAGAUGUAAUUCGUCACAGACGGAUAUGCAAUGAUGAUGCGAGUCGAUGGGCGUCAGCUGAAUGCCAGAGGAACGCGGCGGGAGGAGGAUUGCUGUUAAUGCGCUUCAUUUUUGGCGGGCUUCUUUCUUUCUUCUUCAAACUGAAGCAUUUAUCUGCUCGGUUCGGUCAGCGAGCGACGUACAAUCACAUGUGGUUUCAUUUUUUGCUGAGGCCGAGCAGCUACGUGGUGACGGGGGGCAAACAAAGCAAACAGCUGUCGAGGAAUACAAAGGGGAGCUGAAGGAUUUUCUGCAUAAGCAAUAAUUUUUAACUCUUGGAUUGCUCAGCAGAAAAUAACGUUGAUGUAAUUUCUACACGAGGCUAAACUAAGGGGCAGACUGGCAAGUGGAAUAUAGUGGGAAAUAAAAAAAACCCACUAACAAAUUCAAAUUGUGCUGCUGGGAGUUGGGCUGAAGCUAGAUGUUGGCGUGUAACCCUGAUGGUGUGAAUACAUCACCUGGAUUGGGAGCAGAAGACAUCUGGAUUUUUAUAAUAUUUUAUUAUCACUCCUUCAUUUGAAAUGUAUUAUUCAGUGCAGCACUCUGGAACAUGCUACUGUAAAUAUCAUUUCCAUCUUGGCACACAGGAGUGCGGCUUGCGUGCUCUCUUGGGUACUUUCCCAAAUGCUCACAGUGCUAAGAUGGGACAUUAGCAAAAACAUCAACUCUGAAAAUGAAACAUCUCUCGAGCUCAUUCUCUCGAUUCCCGAGAAUGAGCUUUCAGAGCCUCGAUCCAAGUCACACAUUCCAGCUAGUCGCAUCCGACUGAGUCUUUCCAACUGAUUAGAUCAAUUCAAUCUUUUCUCCUGCAGCAUCUGUCUGCUGACAAAACCAACCACAAUUAAACAUCCUGCUCUUUAGACUCUGGAUUGGUUUUGGUUUAGGAGGCUGGAUCCAAAAGAAGAUGGGAAAAAAAUGUCCUGACUUUGCUCACGAUCGACAAAAGCAACGCCUUCAAAAGCUGAGAGGAUUGGACCUGAUGAACUCGUCAAACUGAACACUUGAAACAAGCCGAGGAUUGUGGAUAUUUUCACCUUCCUGUCUUUAUCUUCUAAUCUGCGUCGACCAUGGAAGCCAAAUCAGAAGUUAAAGAAAAUAAAUAAAUCGGGCGGUCAUCAUUCACAGCGACCAUCAAAAGAUGACCAUCGGUCACGCGGUCGAUAUGAGCUCCCAUACUCAGCGGUUUUCGGUCGAUUCUGCCCACGGAGAAACACUCAUGUCAAUAUAAAUAAACGUUUAAACGCAGAUACGUUUCCAACGAGCACAUACAGAACCAACAGCACGUUCGGUAAACACAACGUAUUAUGUGGCUGUAGUGCUUAUUGGAAAAAGAAAAAAACAUAAAUAUAAGCCUCAAUUUAGAGAAUAUAUAUAUAUAUAUAUAUAUAUAGCUGCUUCCGGCGGCCACAUCUGGAUUCAAACGAUAUGCCACGUUUUAUUUUUGCACAUGCGCCAAGGGGCCCUGAUGCUCAGCCGGUUUCCCUGUGCGAUUUGGUGACCAGUGU